ACAGCAACUGGCACAAUGCUAUGCCACUUGUCACUAACAUUAGCUACCCACAUUAAAGUAGAAUAAGGACCUUGGUGGACUUCCACCUCUGCUGUUUCUCAUGUGUUCACAAAUACUAGGGAGCCCUUAGAAGCGUUUCAUCUAAGCUUGGAGUUUAUCCUCUAAGUUUCUUCUGUAUCAGUCUCUUUAUCAGUGUCACGGAGGUUGACAGAGUUCUAAAGAUUUCUCAAUUCCCUGGUCCGCAAGACCUGCAUGAUCUCUUGGCUGAAUAUAAUGUCUUUCCCUGUGAUGAGGCUACAUUAUACGUAUGGCAUGGUUGACUUCAACAUUGGGAGGUGAUCCAGAUGGGCCUGACUUAAUCAGGCUGCUGAAGGAAUCAGAUGAAGGAGAGGAGAGUCAACUACCAACUUGAGAAAACCCUGCCUGAGAAUAAAGUGACCAUGAGAAAAGGGAGAAAGAAGAACAGGGACCUGACAGCAUGCUUAUUUAGAUCCCUGGACCCAAUCAUCUAGACAAGAGCCAAUACAUUUUCUUUGCUCAAUUC
This is a non-coding RNA of Macaca mulatta (Rhesus monkey), 544 nucleotides long. The record is from RefSeq and is a predicted model, not a curated record. NCBI's taxonomy places the organism in Eukaryota, Metazoa, Chordata, Mammalia, Primates, Cercopithecidae.